Molecule: long non-coding RNA, 225 nt
Filed under: Lathyrus oleraceus (garden pea)
Lineage: Eukaryota; Viridiplantae; Streptophyta; Magnoliopsida; Fabales; Fabaceae
Description: Pisum sativum (pea) long non-coding RNA (PSAT_LNC039136)
Source: RNAcentral
AGUCAUUUAUUUCGCGCUGAUUAUUUUGACGUGUUCAUUUUAUUUUUUUCGAGCAUUUUGGUGCCCGACUUUUAUUUUUUUUGAGUCUAUUUAUUUUUAUAUUGGGUCUAGAAUAAAUAAAUAGGUUAAUUAGUUUUUAUUUUAAUUUUAACUAUUUUAAUUAUUUAACUUUAUUCAGUUUUUAAUUUAAUAUUGGGUUUCAAAAUAAACUUAGGCCCAUUAUCA